UCAAUAAGCGGAGGAAAAGAAACCAACAGGGAUUGCCUUAGUAGCGGCGAGUGAAGCGGCAAAAGCUCAAAUUUGAAAUCUGGCACCUUCGGUGUCCGAGUUGUAAUUUGAAGAUUGUAACCUUGGGGUUGGCUCUUGUCUAUGUUUCUUGGAACAGGACGUCACAGAGGGUGAGAAUCCCGUGCGAUGAGAUGCCCAAUCCUAUGUAAGGUGCUUUCGAAGAGUCGAGUUGUUUGGGAAUGCAGCUCUAAGUGGGUGGUAAAUUCCAUCUAAAGCUAAAUAUUGGCGAGAGACCGAUAGCGAACAAGUACAGUGAUGGAAAGAUGAAAAGAACUUUGAAAAGAGAGUGAAAAAGUACGUGAAAUUGUUGAAAGGGAAGGGUUUGAGAUCAGACUCGAUAUUUUGUGAGCCUUGCCUUCGUGGCGGGGUGACCCGCAGCUUAUCGGGCCAGCAUCGGUUUGGGCGGUAGGAUAAUGGCGUAGGAAUGUGACUUUGCUUCGGUGAAGUGUUAUAGCCUGCGUUGAUGCUGCCUGCCUAGACCGAGGACUGCGAUUUUAUCAAGGAUGCUGGCAUAAUGAUCCCAAACCGCCCGUCUUGAAACACGGACCAAGGAGUCUAACGUCUAUGCGAGUGUUUGGGUGUUAAA
Molecule: ribosomal RNA, 646 nt
Filed under: Meyerozyma caribbica
Lineage: Eukaryota; Fungi; Ascomycota; Pichiomycetes; Serinales; Debaryomycetaceae
Description: partial large subunit ribosomal RNA
Rfam family: Eukaryotic large subunit ribosomal RNA
Source: RNAcentral